Molecule: unclassified non-coding RNA, 133 nt
Filed under: uncultured Glomerellaceae
Lineage: Eukaryota; Fungi; Ascomycota; Sordariomycetes; Glomerellales; Glomerellaceae
Description: sequence contains ITS1
Source: RNAcentral
GUGAAUUUGUUGGAUCUUGUAUCCACACUCUCUCACUUUCUACCCUGUGAACUUAUUAUGAACGAUGGGAAACCGUCGCUCUUAUAUUACAAACAUUAGUAAAGUUGAAGAAUGUCUAUUAUAUAACCUAUAA